RNAcentral lists this ribosomal RNA (890 nucleotides) under uncultured archaeon. RNAcentral's name for it is "bacterial SSU rRNA". It matches the Rfam family "Archaeal small subunit ribosomal RNA", at positions 21 to 919 of the family's 1478-position model. The record is from RNAcentral.
CCUGACUGCUAUCGGAUUGAUACUAAGCCAUGCGAGUCAUUGUAGCAAUACAAGGCAGACGGCUCAGUAACGCGUAGUCAAUCUACCCUAUGGACGGGAAUAACCUCGGGAAACUGAGAAUAAUGCCCGAUAGAACAUUAUGCCUGGAAUGGUUUAUGUUUCAAAUGAUUUAUCGCCAUAGGAUGGGACUGCGGCCUAUCAGUUUGUUGGUGAGGUAAUGGCCCACCAAGACUAUUACAGGUACGGGCUCUGAGAGGAGUAGCCCGGAGAUGGGUACUGAGACACGGACCCAGGCCCUAUGGGGCGCAGCAGGCGAGAAAACUUUGCAAUGUGCGAAAGCACGACAAGGUUAAUCCGAGUGGUUUCUGCUAAAGAAACCUUUUGUCAGUCCUAGAAACACUAACGAAUAAGGGGUGGGCAAGUUCUGGUGUCAGCCGCCGCGGUAAAACCAGCACCUCAAGUGGUCAGGAUGAUUAUUGGGCCUAAAGCAUCCGUCGCUCGUUUUGUAAGUUUUCGGUUAAAUCCAUGCGCUUAACGUAUGGGCUGCCGGGAAUACUGCAUAACUAGGAAGUGGGAGAGGUAGACGGUACUCGGGAGGAAGGGGUAAAAUCCUUUGAUCUCUUGAUGACCACCUGUGGCGAAGGCGGUCUACCAGAACACGUUCGACGGUGAGGGAUGAAAGCUGGGGGAGCAAACCGGAUUAGAUACCCGGGUAGUCCCAGCUGUAAACUAUGCAAACUCAGUGAUGCAUUGGCUUAUGGCCAAUGCAGUGCUGCAGGGAAGCCGUUAAGUUUGCCGCCUGGGAAGUACGUACGCAAGUAUGAAACUUAAAGGAAUUGGCGGGGGAGCACCACAAGGGGUGAAGCCUGCGGUUCAAUUGGAUCAACGCC